Molecule: long non-coding RNA, 213 nt
Filed under: Manihot esculenta (cassava)
Lineage: Eukaryota; Viridiplantae; Streptophyta; Magnoliopsida; Malpighiales; Euphorbiaceae
Description: long non-coding RNA (MESC_LNC006137)
Source: RNAcentral
CUUUACUAUAUACCUGCCAGGGCGUAGUCAAAGGCUCCUGGACUUCUCUAUACCUGCCAGGGCGUAGUCAAAGGCUCCUGGACUUCCUGUCUGAGACUAUUGGAUCAUUCAGCAUUUACCCACAUCAUCAAAUAACGAUGCAAUGCAACAUAUUCGUGGAUACUAAUGCAAUCAACCUAUAGUAGAAUCAUGAUGCAUGAGAUAUGCGAAAAC